GAUCGUAAGACCAAUACCAACACUAAUACACUGGAUCCCAUCAGAACUCCACCGCAGUUAAGCAUGCUUGGGCGAGAGUAGUACUAGGUUAGGUGACCUAUUAGGAAGUCCUCGUGUUGCACUCC
RNAcentral lists this ribosomal RNA (125 nucleotides) under Beta vulgaris subsp. vulgaris (sugar beet). The record is from RNAcentral. Lineage: Eukaryota; Viridiplantae; Streptophyta; Magnoliopsida; Caryophyllales; Amaranthaceae.